UUGCAACUGUCCUUCUUGCACAAACGAAUAUACCCGACGUAGAUGGUUUCAUACAUUUCUCGCAGUCUUUUCAUCUAAGAACUUACAUUCUCGAAUCCAACUCCUCCGAUUCAUAAGAAUUAACAGUUUUGACUCCAACUCUUCCGAUUGAUAAGAAUUGGCAUCCCCGCCGUCUUCUCCUCUAACAAUUUACUCUGUAGUGUUUAUUCUCCAAGCGAAGACCCUCUUUUGCAAUUAUCACACCUCCCCGCCCCCUCCAGUGGAAACGAUAAUAUCUCAUUCUUGCAAUUGUAGUGAAAGCGGCACCGGUGGCGAUGGUGGCUUCCACACAACCGUCUUCCGAUUGAUGCAAGAGGAUUGGUCCAUCUGUUGCUCCUGUAUUAUAGGGCUCUAUCAAUUUGGGCAACGAUUUUGAGCAAUCGGUGACGAAUUUUGUUGGAGGUCGGCAGUUUCCAUUUAAAGAUGUAAAUGCCCUGAGAAGAUUUCGAUCGUCAAGUCUAAGAAGAAAAAGAGCGUCGCCACGCUUUGCGUAAGGUACAACACAUUCAUGCACAUGUGGUCUCCUGCUGGUCAAACCGGAUUGUUUGGAAUGAAUGAAGUUAUGAAUCACGGUUGCGAUUUCAUAAAUGGACAAGGAAGCAAAAAAAGAUGGACCUAACAGAGUAACAAUAAUAGGGAUGUGUGACUUCUAGCUCACACUAAAAUUACUUUAUCUAUGCAUUAUUUGA
Molecule: non-coding RNA, 728 nt
Organism: Lactuca sativa (garden lettuce)
Lineage: Eukaryota; Viridiplantae; Streptophyta; Magnoliopsida; Asterales; Asteraceae
Source: RefSeq, a predicted model, not a curated record